CAGCAGCCGCGGUAAUACGAAGGGUGCAAGCGUUAAUCGGAAUUACUGGGCGUAAAGCGUGCGUAGGCGGUUUGUUAAGUCUGUUGUGAAAUCCCCGGGCUCAACCUGGGAAUGGCAAUGGAUACUGGCAAGCUAGAGUGUGUCAGAGGGUGGUGGAAUUCCCGGUGUAGCGGUGAAAUGCGUAGAGAUCGGGAGGAACAUCAGUGGCGAAGGCGGCCAUCUGGGACAACACUGACGCUGAGGCACGAAAGCGUGGGGAGCAAACAGGAUUAGAUACCCCUGUAGUCCCUGUCUCUUAUAA
Molecule: ribosomal RNA, 301 nt
Filed under: uncultured bacterium
Lineage: Bacteria
Description: partial 16S ribosomal RNA
Rfam family: Bacterial small subunit ribosomal RNA
Source: RNAcentral